CAGCCGUAAACUAUGCUCGCUAGGUGUCAGGCAUGGCGCGACUGUGUCUGGUGCCGCAGGGAAGCCGUGAAGCGAGCCACCUGGGAAGUACGGCCGCAAGGCUGAAACUUAAAGGAAUUGGCGGGGGAGCACAACAACGGGUGGAGCCUGCGGUUUAAUUGGACUCAACGCCGGACAACUCACCGGGGGACGACAGCAAUAUGUAGGCCAGGCUGAAGACCUUGCCUGAAUCGCUGAGAGGAGGUGCAUGGCGUAGACGUCU
RNAcentral lists this ribosomal RNA (262 nucleotides) under uncultured archaeon. RNAcentral's name for it is "partial 16S ribosomal RNA". It matches the Rfam family "Archaeal small subunit ribosomal RNA", at positions 748 to 1009 of the family's 1478-position model. The record is from RNAcentral.